GAUUUCUGGUGUGAUCCGCUUGACCCGCCAUGUCUACAUGUGUGAGUGUCGAUGCAGAUCUGCCAUCACUUCUAGAUAAACGUCAUCCUCUUCAUUGAGCGUGUGACGAUUUUGUUUAGAUCUUUUACUUUGAAAAAAUUAGAGUGUUUCAAGCAGGCUUCUUGCUAUGAAUACAUUAGCAUGGAAUAAUAAUUUAGGACUUUUGUUCUAUUUUGUUGGUUUCUAGAAUGGAAGUAAUGAUUGAUAGGGAUAGUUGGGGGUGCUAGUAGUCAGUGGCCAAAGGUGAAAUUCUCGGAUUCACUGAAGACUAACUUAUGCGAAAGCAUU
RNAcentral lists this ribosomal RNA (327 nucleotides) under uncultured Rhogostoma. RNAcentral describes it as "bacterial SSU rRNA". It matches the Rfam family "Eukaryotic small subunit ribosomal RNA", at positions 633 to 955 of the family's 1831-position model. The record is from RNAcentral. Lineage: Eukaryota; Cercozoa; Thecofilosea; Cryomonadida.